GGUCCGGUAGCUGAACUGGAAGACUGGCAAGUCGCACAGCACCCGAUUUGUAAUCGGGAGAAUGUUGGUUCGAGUCCAACCCGGAUCGCCA
RNAcentral lists this transfer RNA (91 nucleotides) under Pseudolabrys sp. RNAcentral describes it as "tRNA-Thr". It matches the Rfam family "tRNA". From Rfam's summary of the family: Transfer RNA (tRNA) molecules are approximately 80 nucleotides in length. Lineage: Bacteria; Pseudomonadati; Pseudomonadota; Alphaproteobacteria; Hyphomicrobiales; Xanthobacteraceae. The record is from RNAcentral.